CUAUAUAAUCUUUUCCCUAACACAACCUAAAUUUUCAAAAAAUUCUAAAGCGCCGUCCCUGACUACUGUUCCUCUUCUCCAACGCGAUUUCACCCUAUCUCGCUUGAAAACUCAGGCGAGCUCACUCGGACGGGCCCAUCUGUACCACGUCAUCGAGAUUAUAACCAUGUCUGACAAAAUCCAUCUCCCUCACAUUUCAUUUACUUGAUUUAUUUCAUAUUUUUAACCAUUCAGAUGAACACAUGGAAAAAUGGAGAGCGUUCAAUUGGAUUUGAUUUGAUCCACUCCCUCCAUUUGUCUGUUCUUCAUCAUAGGGAUGGUAAAAUUUCAGAUUUCAGGGAAGAUAUUUUUGGAUGGAUUUCUUGGGAAGAAAAGGAGAAGGUUCGAGAAGCCUGAGGCCUUAUAUAAGGAGGUGAUAUUUUCAGAAGAGGGGAGAAUAUUUUUUUUCCGAAAAAAAUGGAAGAUAAGAAUUAGGUCGAAAUUGUUCUUUCCUUCUGUUUCUUCUUUUUGUUUUUUCAUUUGAGAUCCUAUAUAUAUAAAUAUAUUGUUGAGGGUCAGAUUCCAUAGAUUACAUUUAAUUUUCAAUCUCUGGGUUUUCCGGUAAAAAUGGAAGUUGUGUGAAAAUCCGUUGAAGUUGCUUUUUGUAAGAAGGGCCAUUCACUGUCCAAAAUUUUAUUGCGAUUUGUGUAUCUGAAGUUGGGAGAAAAAUUUAGUAAUUGUGUGACUAUUCUCUGUUUUUUGUAACGAGGACUUUGCCACAACAGGCCUAUUUUCGCUACUACUUCCAUCUAUCUUAGUUUUCGUCUGCGUAUGAAACUUAGAAUUUUCUUAAUAAGUGUUAAUUUAGUUUCAUCUAAUUUUUAUCCCCAUCCAUAUGUUUCUUUUGAUACUGGACAUAUGAAGCAGAGUACUUGUUCUUUGUACUACAAAAAAUCGUAUUUCCAUAGAAUCCACCAUUUAAUCGGAUAUAAUUCAUAUGUUGCACUGGAUUAA
RNAcentral lists this long non-coding RNA (993 nucleotides) under Nicotiana benthamiana. Its description in RNAcentral is "long non-coding RNA (NBEN_LNC042153)". Lineage: Eukaryota; Viridiplantae; Streptophyta; Magnoliopsida; Solanales; Solanaceae. The record is from RNAcentral.